Non-coding RNA from Populus trichocarpa (black cottonwood), 129 nucleotides. The record is from Rfam. NCBI's taxonomy places the organism in Eukaryota, Viridiplantae, Streptophyta, Magnoliopsida, Malpighiales, Salicaceae.
UUGUUUGCAGGUGCAGCAUCAUCAAGAUUCACAUUCAAACAGAUGUACGGCAGCUAGCUAGCUAGAUAGAUAGACAGCAAUGUAUUUCUUUGAAGGUGAGAAUCUUGAUGAUGCUGCAUCAGCCAUAAA